This 142-nucleotide non-coding RNA is filed under the name Pan troglodytes (chimpanzee). Lineage: Eukaryota; Metazoa; Chordata; Mammalia; Primates; Hominidae. The record is from RNAcentral.
AUGGGCUCAAGGACAGCUUGCCUGACUGCAGCCAUAAGGAUGAAGCCUCUUCAGGUAGAGAAGGACUCCAGGUGGGGCCUGUGCAGAGGGUUCUUACGGGGGCAGUAGGAUUGGGGCUCUAAAAUCAGUAAAUGGAAAAGGA